UGGGGAAUCUUGCGCAAUGCGCGAAAGCGUGACGCAGCAACGCCGCGUGGGGGAAGACGGCCUUCGGGUUGUAAACCCCUUUCAGAGGGGACGAAGCUUCGGCGGUUAAUAGCCGUUCGGAGUGACGGUACCUUCAGAAGAAGCUCCGGCUAACUACGUGCCAGCAGCCGCGGUAAUACGUAGGGGGCUAGCGUUGUCCGGAAUUAUUGGGCGUAAAGAGCGUGUAGGCUGUUCGAUCAGUUUGCUGUAAAAGUCAAGGGCUUAACCCUUGAAAGCCGGUGAAUACUGUCGGACUAGAGUACGGAAGAGGCGAGUGGAAUUCCUGGUGUAGCGGUGAAAUGCGCAGAUAUCAGGAGGAACACCUAUUGCGAAGGCAGCUCGCUGGGACGUCACUGACGCUGAGACGCGAAAGCGUGGGGAGCAAACAGG
This 429-nucleotide ribosomal RNA is filed under the name uncultured bacterium. RNAcentral's name for it is "bacterial SSU rRNA". It matches the Rfam family "Bacterial small subunit ribosomal RNA", at positions 355 to 776 of the family's 1533-position model. The record is from RNAcentral.